AGCUUGCUGGGGGGAUUAGUGGCGAACGGGUGAGUAACACGUGAGUAACCUGCCCUUGACUCUGGGAUAAGCCUGGGAAACUGGGUCUAAUACCGGAUAUGACUCCUCAUCGCAUGGUGGGGGGUGGAAAGCUUUUGUGGUUUUGGAUGGACUCGCGGCCUAUCAGCUUGUUGGUGAGGUAAUGGCUCACCAAGGCGACGACGGGUAGCCGGCCUGAGAGGGUGACCGGCCACACUGGGACUGAGACACGGCCCAGACUCCUACGGGAGGCAGCAGUGGGGAAUAUUGCACAAUGGGCGCAAGCCUGAUGCAGCGACGCCGCGUGAGGGAUGACGGCCUUCGGGUUGUAAACCUCUUUCAGUAGGGAAGAAGCGAAAGUGACGGUACCUGCAGAAGAAGCGCCGGCUAACUACGUGCCAGCAGCCGCGGUAAUACGUAGGGCGCAAGCGUUAUCCGGAAUUAUUGGGCGUAAAGAGCUCGUAGGCGGUUUGUCGCGUCUGCUGUGAAAGACCGGGGCUCAACUCCGGUUCUGCAGUGGGUACGGGCAGACUAGAGUGAUGUAGGGGAGACUGGAAUUCCUGGUGUAGCGGUGAAAUGCGCAGAUAUCAGGAGGAACACCGAUGGCGAAGGCAGGUCUCUGGGCAUUAACUGACGCUGAGGAGCGAAAGCAUGGGGAGCGAACAGGAUUAGAUACCCUGGUAG
Molecule: ribosomal RNA, 702 nt
Filed under: Arthrobacter sp.
Lineage: Bacteria; Bacillati; Actinomycetota; Actinomycetes; Micrococcales; Micrococcaceae
Description: bacterial SSU rRNA
Rfam family: Bacterial small subunit ribosomal RNA
Source: RNAcentral